RNAcentral lists this unclassified non-coding RNA (274 nucleotides) under Hevea brasiliensis (rubber tree). The record is from RNAcentral. Lineage: Eukaryota; Viridiplantae; Streptophyta; Magnoliopsida; Malpighiales; Euphorbiaceae.
CGACGGUCUACUAGAAGUUGGUAUAUCACCUUAUAAUGGAUUCACUUAUGAUCAUAUAUAUGGAACCAAGUUUGGAGGAACUCUUUUCGAUAGAUUUGGUCAUCGGAAGACUGCAGCUGAUCUUCUCACCUCAGCCAAUCCUGAGAAGCUUGAUGUUUUGGUGCAUGCGAUGGUUCAAAAGAUUGAAUUUGACACAUCAGGAAGGAAGCCAAGAGCAGUAGGAGUCAUCUUCAAAGACGAAAAGGGGAACCAACACACAGCAUUCCUUUCAAAG